AUGAACGCUGGCGGCGUGCCUCAUCCAUGCCAGUCGAGCGAACAGAUAAGGAGCUUGCUCCUUUGACGUUAGCGGCGGACGGGUGAGUAACACGUGGGUAACCUACCUAUAAGACUGGGAUAACUUCGGGAAACCGGAGCUAAUACCGGAUAACAUUUGGAACCGCAUGGUUCUAAAGUGAAAGAUGGUUUUGCUAUCACUUAUAGAUGGACCCGCGCCGUAUUAGCUAGUUGGUAAGGUAACGGCUUACCAAGGCGACGAUACGUAGCCGACCUGAGAGGGUGAUCGGCCACACUGGAACUGAGACACGGUCCAGACUCCUACGGGAGGCAGCAGUAGGGAAUCUUCCGCAAUGGGCGAAAGCCUGACGGAGCAACGCCGCGUGAGUGAUGAAGGGUUUCGGCUCGUAAAACUCUGUUAUUAGGGAAGAACAAACGUGUAAGUAACUGUGCACGUCUUGACGGUACCUAAUCAGAAAGCCACGGCUAACUACGUG
Molecule: ribosomal RNA, 496 nt
Filed under: uncultured bacterium
Lineage: Bacteria
Description: partial 16S ribosomal RNA
Rfam family: Bacterial small subunit ribosomal RNA
Source: RNAcentral